This is a non-coding RNA of Otolemur garnettii (small-eared galago), 299 nucleotides long. NCBI's taxonomy places the organism in Eukaryota, Metazoa, Chordata, Mammalia, Primates, Galagidae. The record is from Rfam.
AGCAGACGUGGUGGCAUGCCCCUGUAGUUCCAGCUACUCGGGAGGUUAAGACAGGAGGAUCGCUUGAUCCAGGAGUUCUGGGCUGUAGUGUGCUAUGCCGAUCAGGUGUCCACACUAUGUUUGGCAUCAAUAUGGUGACCUCCAGGGAGCAGGGGACCACCAGGUUGCCUUAGGAGGGGUGAACCUGCCCAGGUCGGAAAUGGAGCAGGUCAAAGCUCCCGUGCUGAUCAGUAGUGGGAUCACACCUGUGACUAGCCACUGCACUCCAGCCUGGGCAACAUAGCGAGAACUUGUCUCUU